Molecule: ribosomal RNA, 465 nt
Filed under: uncultured bacterium
Lineage: Bacteria
Description: partial 16S ribosomal RNA
Rfam family: Bacterial small subunit ribosomal RNA
Source: RNAcentral
CCUACGGGAGGCAGCAGUGGGGAAUAUUGCGCAAUGGGCGAAAGCCUGACGCAGCGACGCCGCGUGAGGGAUGAAGGUCUUCGGAUCGUAAACCUCUGUCAGCAGGGAAGAACGGUCACUGUGCUAAUCAGCAGUGAAUUGACGGUACCUGCAAAGGAAGCACCGGCUAACUCCGUGCCAGCAGCCGCGGUAAUACGGAGGGUGCGAGCGUUAAUCGGAAUUACUGGGCGUAAAGCGCUCGUAGGCGGUAUGUCAAGUCAAGGGUGAAAUCCCCGCGCUCAACGUGGGAACUGCCUUUGAAACUGGCAAACUGGAGUGUGUGAGAGGAUAGUGGAAUUCCAGGUGAAGGAGUGAAAGCCGUAGAUAUCUGGAGGAACAUCAGUGGCGAAGGCGACUAUCUGGCACAUAACUGACGCUGAGGAGCGAAAGCGUGGGUAGCAAACAGGAUUAGAUACCCCAGUAGUC